Molecule: ribosomal RNA, 388 nt
Filed under: uncultured bacterium
Lineage: Bacteria
Description: bacterial SSU rRNA
Rfam family: Bacterial small subunit ribosomal RNA
Source: RNAcentral
AUUGAACGCUGGCGGCGUGCCUAACACAUGCAAGUCGAGCGGUAACAGGUGUAGCAAUACAUGCUGACGAGCGGCGAACGGGUGAGUAAUGCUUCGGAAUCUACCCAAUGGUGGGGAUAACCAGCCGAAAGGUUGGCUAAUACCGCAUACGUCCCACGGGAGAAAGCAGGGGAUCGCAAGACCUUGCGCCAAUGGAUGAGCCGAAGUCGGAUUAGCUAGUUGGAGGGUAACGGCCUACCAAGGCGACGAUCCGUAGCUGGUCUGAGAGGACGACCAGCCACACUGGGACUGAGACACGGCCCAGACUCCUACGGGAGGCAGCAGUGGGGAAUAUUGGACAAUGGGGGAAACCCUCGAUCCAGCGACGCCGCGUGUGUGAAGAAGGCCU